This 464-nucleotide ribosomal RNA is filed under the name uncultured bacterium. Its description in RNAcentral is "bacterial SSU rRNA". It matches the Rfam family "Bacterial small subunit ribosomal RNA", at positions 355 to 825 of the family's 1533-position model. The record is from RNAcentral.
UAAGGAAUAUUGCGCAAUGGGCGAAAGCCUGACGCAGCGACGCCGCGUGGGGGAUGAAGGUCUUCGGAUUGUAAACCCCUUUCGGGAGGGAAGAUGGAAUGGGGUAACCCAUUCGGACGGUACCUCCAGAAGCAGCCACGGCUAACUUCGUGCCAGCAGCCGCGGUAAUACGAAGGUGGCAAGCGUUAUUCGGAUUUACUGGGCGUACAGGGAGCGUAGGCGGUUCGGUAAGCCCUUUGUGAAAUCUCCAGGCUUAACCUGGAAAAGUCGGAGGGGACUGCCGGGCUAGAGGACGGGAGAGGAGCGCGGAAUUCCCGGUGUAGCGGUGAAAUGCGUAGAGAUCGGGAGGAAGGCCGGUGGCGAAGGCGGCGCUCUGGAACGUUUCUGACGCUGAGGCUCGAAAGCGUGGGGAGCAAACAGGAUUAGAUACCCCAGUAGUCCCUGAGCGGGCUGGCAAGGCGCAU